This 439-nucleotide ribosomal RNA is filed under the name uncultured bacterium. Its description in RNAcentral is "partial 16S ribosomal RNA". It matches the Rfam family "Bacterial small subunit ribosomal RNA", at positions 339 to 795 of the family's 1533-position model. The record is from RNAcentral.
CUACGGGCGGCUGCAGUGAGGAAUAUUGCACAAUGGGGGGAACCCUGAUGCAGCAACGCCGCGUGGAGGAUGACACAUUUCGGUGUGUAAACUCCUUUUAUAUGUCAAGAAAAUGACGGUAGCAUAUGAAUAAGCACCGGCUAACUCCGUGCCAGCAGCCGCGGUAAUACGGAGGGUGCAAGCGUUACUCGGAAUCACUGGGCGUAAAGGACGCGUAGGCGGGUUGGAAAGUCAGGUGUGAAAUCCUACAGCUUAACUGUAGAACUGCACCUGAAACUUCUAAUCUAGAGUAUGGGAGGGGGAGAUGGAAUUAGUGGUGUAGGGGUAAAAUCCGUAGAUAUCACUAGGAAUACCUAAAGCGAAGGCGAUCUCCUGGAACAUUACUGACGCUAAGGCGUGAAAGCGUGGGGAGCAAACAGGAUUAGAUACCCUCGUAGUC